Molecule: RNA transcript, 2670 nt
Organism: Helianthus annuus (common sunflower)
Lineage: Eukaryota; Viridiplantae; Streptophyta; Magnoliopsida; Asterales; Asteraceae
Gene name: pre-mRNA-processing protein 40C-like
Exons: 12
Source: RefSeq, a predicted model, not a curated record
AAAACCCUAAUCUCUCAUUCGUCCUCAAUCCGAUUGCGUCUCCCAAACCCUAACCAUUCAAAUCCACCGUUUCAUCUCUGCAUCUUCCGCCGUUUCAUCUAUUUUCACUUGAAAGAGCCUUAGAUGUAUUCGAUCUACAAUUCAGAAAGAAACCCGAUCGUGAUUGAUCUAGCCGCAUCAAGCCACUGUGGUUACGCAAUCUGGAGAUGGGUAGGAUUUAAUCAGAGUUUUCGCAUCACUUGAGGUAAGUUUCUGGUUUACGGGUUAAUGUUUGUAGCAUUUAAUAUCUUGAUACUCGAUUUAAAAAAACCAUAAUUUGUGGUCGAGAUAUAUGGUGUUAAUGGCGCCCACGGUCGAGAAGCGUAUGAUAGCGGUUUCGUCUGAGAAGCAGCUGCUGCUGAUAGUAAAAAUUUGUAAGAACACCAUGAUUUCCGAUCAUACGUUGUGAAAAUUGCGAUUCAUAUUUCAAUUGAAUGCCGCCUUCAUUGACAAGGAUAUGACGAAAUAGAUCAAGAUUCACUGGUCCAUUGGCCAUUCAGGUUCACUGGUCCAUGAAACAGGCCAGAACAAUCAGAUGGAACUUAUCAGCAAAUGCAACAAGGCCCAACCCUCAAGGAAUGAUUUUUGAAGAGUGUGGUACUAGAAGUAGCAUGGCGUAAUUAAGAUAAAUGAUUUGUGUUCGUAGACGUUCUAUAAGGUGCGUGUGACAUUUGGUGCAUAAUAUUUGAUUGGUUUCAGUUCUUCAAGGUCAAAAAUGGGGGCAAAGUCAAACGAUUUUUGAAGGUGCAGUAGAUUUUUUUGUAGUUUCAUGUACAUGAUGGUAUACACCGAUUGUUUAUAUGAACAUAAAAAUUGGACAAAAAGCCGGUCGGCCAACCCGAGCGAACCCGUUUCGGUCCAUACAAAAAGGACCAGUUUUCAUCAACUUAGAAUUCAUAACUUAGUAUCACACUCUCUAGCAUCCGGUUUGUGCAGAUCACAGAGAUCUGGAUUAUAAAGGGUCAUAAGGAGCUCGAAGCGGAGUUGAAGAAAAUGGUGCUGGUUAUUUUCUGAGCGCCUUGUGGAUGUUGUGCUUGGAGAUAUGAGACUUGUGGAUUCAAGAGAUAUUAUGGAGCUUGAGUUGAAACAACAUAACUGUGAGGUCGUUAUCAGAAAAAAAAGAAGCUUUAUGGUGAUGAUGCAAUCUCCACAACCUCAGGCUAUGUAUCAAUCACUACCACCUCCACCAUAGUCUGCACCCGCUUCUUCAACGCCAGCUCCUUCUGCAUCUGCACCCGCACCACCCUCACCUACCCCUGCAAAACCAAAGUCCUCUCAUCCUCCAAUGAAAUGCCCCAUGGCUGGAAACACUCUUUUGUUUGUUUUAAAUUUUGUUGUAUAUAUAUAACCUGUUAAUAUGAUUACAAUAAAUAUACUUAGAGGCUUAGACUAGAGUAUGAAGCGUUUAAUAUUUGCAUAAACGAUGUGGGAGGUUGUAUGCUUUAUAAUUAGACUUUUGGGUAGUUUCUUGAUUAUCAAGUGAUGUGUUGAUUUACUGUUUAAGGUUUUUUUUAUUUUUUUAUAAUAUAUGUUUUCCAGGUUGGAGACAAGGUUUAGAAAAGCCAGGUUAUUUGCAUUAUUGAGGCCAUGAAGUUGAUGAAUGAGAUUGAGUUCUGGCCGUCUCAAGCAUAGUUACCUAAAUCGCUAGGUUAGCCACGGUAUUGGAUCGUGGUGUAUCCAAUCGAAAAUCAUAAACGUACCGGAACGUGUCAAAAAUAUGAAUCUAAGAGCUUCUGGGAUCAUAGUCACCUGGAUCAAGGUACGCUCCGGUACACAGAACAAAAAACAGGGAGAAGUGUGCUGGCACCGAUUGGUCAUUGGUCACCACAAAUGACGGGAAAAGAUAUUACUACAAUGCUAAAACCAAGCUGAGCAACUGGCAAAUACCAGCAGAUGUGGCCAAGUUAAGAAAGACGCAGGAAAAUGAUGCUUUAAAAGAACAAUCAAUAUCAAUGCAUAACGUAACUACUUUAACUGAAAAAGGAUCUGGCCCAUUAAGCUUGAACGCCCCUGCUAUUACCACAUGUGGCUGUGAUGCCAUAUCUCCUGUCUCACCAUCUACACUUGAUUUGAUAAAAAAGAAACUGCAAGAUUCUGCAGCUCCUGCUACCAUUGGAUCUGACCUGAACGGUAGAAAAUGGAAAAAUGCAUGUUUUAUGCCGAUAGAUGCUGGUGCGGAACUGAAUAAUGUCUUCUACCACUUUGUAAAGGUAAUAUCUUGCUUUUUAUAGCUUCGCUUGGCUUGGCUUUUUCUGGACAUGGCUUAUUUACAAAACAAGUUGACGCGGCUCAGUUCAUUUACAAGUGAUCCAACUACAACAAAUAAGGUUUUGUAUCUGUACUACAUCGGCUUUUAUUGACUUGCCAAGUUUUGAAAAAACUUGAGAUGGAUAAGGAGUAGCUAGGCAACGUUCAGGUAAUUGGGGAAGAUUAUUAUGUUAAACCUGCAGAAGGUCAUUCCGUGCUCUACUUGAUGUUGGUCUUAUCAAAAAAUCACUGAAAACCGUGUUUUUGGUGCCCUUAAGUGUCAUUAUGUUAAACAUGAAGAAGGUCAUUCACAUACAUUUGUAUAUCUGCUGAUAAAAUGAUUUGAAUGUUUAAUAUGAUUAUCAAAGAGUAUUAUUUGAAUAA